AGCGAACGCUGGCGGCAGGCUUAACACAUGCAAGUCGAGCGGACCUUUCGGGGUCAGCGGCGGACGGGUGAGUAACGCGUGGGAACGUGCCUUCUGGUCUGGAAUAACCCUGGGAAACUAGGGCUAAUACCGGAUACGCCCUUUUGGGGAAGGUUUACUGCCGGAAGAUCGGCCCGCGUCUGAUUAGCUAGUUGGUGGGGUAACGGCCUACCAAGGCGACGAUCAGUAGCUGGUCUGAGAGGAUGANCAGCCACACUGGGACUGAGACACGGCCCAGACUCCUACGGGAGGCAGCAGUGGGGAAUAUUGGACAAUGGGCGCAAGCCUGAUCCAGCCAUGCCGCGUGAGUGAUGAAGGCCUUAGGGUUGUAAAGCUCUUUAUCCGGGACGAUAAUGACGGUACCGGAGGAAUAAGCCCCGGCUAACUUCGUGCCAGCCGCCGCCGUAAC
Molecule: ribosomal RNA, 448 nt
Filed under: uncultured bacterium
Lineage: Bacteria
Description: bacterial SSU rRNA
Rfam family: Bacterial small subunit ribosomal RNA
Source: RNAcentral